AGGACGAACGCUGGCGGCGUGCUUAACACAUGCAAGUCGAACGGAAAGGCCCUGCUUUUGUGGGGUGCUCGAGUGGCGAACGGGUGAGUAACACGUGAGUAACCUGCCCUUGACUUUGGGAUAACUUCAGGAAACUGGGGCUAAUACCGGAUAGGAGCUCCUGCUGCAUGGUGGGGGUUGGAAAGUUUCGGCGGUUGGGGAUGGACUCGCGGCUUAUCAGCUUGUUGGUGGGGUAGUGGCUUACCAAGGCUUUGACGGGUAGCCGGCCUGAGAGGGUGACCGGCCACAUUGGGACUGAGAUACGGCCCAGACUCCUACGGAGGCAGCAGUGGGGAAUAGUUGCACAAGUGGGCGGAAGCCUGAUGCAGCAACGCCGCGUGGCGGAUGACGGUCUUCGGGUUCGUAACCG
Molecule: ribosomal RNA, 409 nt
Filed under: uncultured soil bacterium
Lineage: Bacteria
Description: bacterial SSU rRNA
Rfam family: Bacterial small subunit ribosomal RNA
Source: RNAcentral